Molecule: ribosomal RNA, 2924 nt
Filed under: Escherichia coli
Lineage: Bacteria; Pseudomonadati; Pseudomonadota; Gammaproteobacteria; Enterobacterales; Enterobacteriaceae
Description: 23S ribosomal RNA
Rfam family: Bacterial large subunit ribosomal RNA
Source: RNAcentral
GGGUUGUGAGGUUAAGCGACUAAGCGUACACGGUGGAUGCCCUGGCAGUCAGAGGCGAUGAAGGACGUGCUAAUCUGCGAUAAGCGUCGGUAAGGUGAUAUGAACCGUUAUAACCGGCGAUUUCCGAAUGGGGAAACCCAGUGUGAUUCGUCACACUAUCAUUAACUGAAUCCAUAGGUUAAUGAGGCGAACCGGGGGAACUGAAACAUCUAAGUACCCCGAGGAAAAGAAAUCAACCGAGAUUCCCCCAGUAGCGGCGAGCGAACGGGGAGCAGCCCAGAGCCUGAAUCAGUGUGUGUGUUAGUGGAAGCGUCUGGAAAGGCGCGCGAUACAGGGUGACAGCCCCGUACACAAAAAUGCACAUGCUGUGAGCUCGAUGAGUAGGGCGGGACACGUGGUAUCCUGUCUGAAUAUGGGGGGACCAUCCUCCAAGGCUAAAUACUCCUGACUGACCGAUAGUGAACCAGUACCGUGAGGGAAAGGCGAAAAGAACCCCGGCGAGGGGAGUGAAAAAGAACCUGAAACCGUGUACGUACAAGCAGUGGGAGCACGCUUAGGCGUGUGACUGCGUACCUUUUGUAUAAUGGGUCAGCGACUUAUAUUCUGUAGCAAGGUUAACCGAAUAGGGGAGCCGAAGGGAAACCGAGUCUUAACUGGGCGUUAAGUUGCAGGGUAUAGACCCGAAACCCGGUGAUCUAGCCAUGGGCAGGUUGAAGGUUGGGUAACACUAACUGGAGGACCGAACCGACUAAUGUUGAAAAAUUAGCGGAUGACUUGUGGCUGGGGGUGAAAGGCCAAUCAAACCGGGAGAUAGCUGGUUCUCCCCGAAAGCUAUUUAGGUAGCGCCUCGUGAACUCAUCUCCGGGGGUAGAGCACUGUUUCGGCAAGGGGGUCAUCCCGACUUACCAACCCGAUGCAAACUGCGAAUACCGGAGAAUGUUAUCACGGGAGACACACGGCGGGUGCUAACGUCCGUCGUGAAGAGGGAAACAACCCAGACCGCCAGCUAAGGUCCCAAAGUCAUGGUUAAGUGGGAAACGAUGUGGGAAGGCCCAGACAGCCAGGAUGUUGGCUUAGAAGCAGCCAUCAUUUAAAGAAAGCGUAAUAGCUCACUGGUCGAGUCGGCCUGCGCGGAAGAUGUAACGGGGCUAAACCAUGCACCGAAGCUGCGGCAGCGACACUGUGUGUUGUUGGGUAGGGGAGCGUUCUGUAAGCCUGUGAAGGUGUGCUGUGAGGCAUGCUGGAGGUAUCAGAAGUGCGAAUGCUGACAUAAGUAACGAUAAAGCGGGUGAAAAGCCCGCUCGCCGGAAGACCAAGGGUUCCUGUCCAACGUUAAUCGGGGCAGGGUGAGUCGACCCCUAAGGCGAGGCCGAAAGGCGUAGUCGAUGGGAAACAGGUUAAUAUUCCUGUACUUGGUGUUACUGCGAAGGGGGGACGGAGAAGGCUAUGUUGGCCGGGCGACGGUUGUCCCGGUUUAAGCGUGUAGGCUGGUUUUCCAGGCAAAUCCGGAAAAUCAAGGCUGAGGCGUGAUGACGAGGCACUACGGUGCUGAAGCAACAAAUGCCCUGCUUCCAGGAAAAGCCUCUAAGCAUCAGGUAACAUCAAAUCGUACCCCAAACCGACACAGGUGGUCAGGUAGAGAAUACCAAGGCGCUUGAGAGAACUCGGGUGAAGGAACUAGGCAAAAUGGUGCCGUAACUUCGGGAGAAGGCACGCUGAUAUGUAGGUGAAGCGACUUGCUCGUGGAGCUGAAAUCAGUCGAAGAUACCAGCUGGCUGCAACUGUUUAUUAAAAACACAGCACUGUGCAAACACGAAAGUGGACGUAUACGGUGUGACGCCUGCCCGGUGCCGGAAGGUUAAUUGAUGGGGUCAGCGCAAGCGAAGCUCUUGAUCGAAGCCCCGGUAAACGGCGGCCGUAACUAUAACGGUCCUAAGGUAGCGAAAUUCCUUGUCGGGUAAGUUCCGACCUGCACGAAUGGCGUAAUGAUGGCCAGGCUGUCUCCACCCGAGACUCAGUGAAAUUGAACUCGCUGUGAAGAUGCAGUGUACCCGCGGCAAGACGGAAAGACCCCGUGAACCUUUACUAUAGCUUGACACUGAACAUUGAGCCUUGAUGUGUAGGAUAGGUGGGAGGCUUUGAAGUGUGGACGCCAGUCUGCAUGGAGCCGACCUUGAAAUACCACCCUUUAAUGUUUGAUGUUCUAACGUGGACCCGUAAUCCGGGUUGCGGACAGUGUCUGGUGGGUAGUUUGACUGGGGCGGUCUCCUCCUAAAGAGUAACGGAGGAGCACGAAGGUUGGCUAAUCCUGGUCGGACAUCAGGAGGUUAGUGCAAUGGCAUAAGCCAGCUUGACUGCGAGCGUGACGGCGCGAGCAGGUGCGAAAGCAGGUCAUAGUGAUCCGGUGGUUCUGAAUGGAAGGGCCAUCGCUCAACGGAUAAAAGGUACUCCGGGGAUAACAGGCUGAUACCGCCCAAGAGUUCAUAUCGACGGCGGUGUUUGGCACCUCGAUGUCGGCUCAUCACAUCCUGGGGCUGAAGUAGGUCCCAAGGGUAUGGCUGUUCGCCAUUUAAAGUGGUACGCGAGCUGGGUUUAGAACGUCGUGAGACAGUUCGGUCCCUAUCUGCCGUGGGCGCUGGAGAACUGAGGGGGGCUGCUCCUAGUACGAGAGGACCGGAGUGGACGCAUCACUGGUGUUCGGGUUGUCAUGCCAAUGGCACUGCCCGGUAGCUAAAUGCGGAAGAGAUAAGUGCUGAAAGCAUCUAAGCACGAAACUUGCCCCGAGAUGAGUUCUCCCUGACCCUUUAAGGGUCCUGAAGGAACGUUGAAGACGACGACGUUGAUAGGCCGGGUGUGUAAGCGCAGCGAUGCGUUGAGCUAACCGGUACUAAUGAACCGUGAGGCUUAACCUUACAACGCCGAAG